Molecule: non-coding RNA, 136 nt
Organism: Pelobates cultripes (western spadefoot toad)
Lineage: Eukaryota; Metazoa; Chordata; Amphibia; Anura; Pelobatidae
Source: the annotation of a GenBank genome assembly
GUCUAGGUGUCUAACCUCCUCCGAGGUAGACACCAAAGGUAACCUGACACAGGGACCCUGAGAAACGGCUACCACAUGCAAGGAAGACAGCAGGCGCGCAAAUGACCCACUCCCGACGCGGGAAGGUAGUGAUGGC